CCUACGGGUGGCAGCAGUGAGGAAUAUUGGUCAAUGGGCGGAAGCCUGAACCAGCCAAGUAGCGUGCGGGAUGAAGGCCCUACGGGUCGUAAACCGCUUUUGCACGGGGAUAACACCCUCCACUUGUGGAGGUCUGCAGGUACCGUGCGAAUAAGGGCCGGCUAAUUCCGUGCCAGCAGCCGCGGUAAUACGGAAGGCCCGAGCGUUUUCCGGUUUUACUGGGUGUAAAGGGAGCGUAGGCGGUUAUGUAAGUCUGGAGGUAAAGCCCGGGGCCCAACCCCGGGACUGCUUUGGAAACGGGGUAACUGGAGUACGGGAGGGGCAGGCGGAAUUUGUGGUGUAGCGGUGAAAUGCGUAGAUAUCAGGAAGAACACCGGCGGCGAAGGCAGCCUGCUGGACUGAAACUGACGUUGAGGCACGAAAGCGUGGGGAGCAAACAGGAUUAGAUACCCGAGUAGUC
This 460-nucleotide ribosomal RNA is filed under the name uncultured bacterium. RNAcentral describes it as "partial 16S ribosomal RNA". It matches the Rfam family "Bacterial small subunit ribosomal RNA", at positions 338 to 795 of the family's 1533-position model. The record is from RNAcentral.